UUCCACAAACAACACUUUCCCUGCAACUUUCAAUCUUCUUUCUUUAAUGAUUCAAGGCAGCAACUACUUCACCAUUCUUCACUAAUUCCACGAGAAGAGCAAGUAGGAGAACUCCAUGCAUUUUUUUUCUGCCAUUAUUCAAGAAAAAUCAUCAUCAUCCAUCGUUCCCAUCAAAAGCAAGCAAACAACUCAAGAGAAAAUCCAGCAAGUGCUUUGAGCAUCAGGAGGAUUAGCACUGCUAUUCCGAUUCAGAGAUAAGGUUAAACGACAGGCUUUGCCUAUACAGGUUAAUGGCUGGUGACGACGGGGCAGAGCUGAGGCUAGAGUUCAACUCCUUAUUUUGAUUUCCGCUGCAGAACUAGCCAGUAUCUGUCUUUUGUUUCUUAACUUAAGACCUAUCAUGUUGUGAUUCUAAACAAUAUCUUUUGUUGAGCCUAAACUAUUGACUCUCAAAGUAUUUCAAUCAGUGAAUGUUGGUUAUCUGAAGCAUGACACUAAACUUGUGAUCC
This is a long non-coding RNA of Salvia miltiorrhiza (redroot sage), 509 nucleotides long. RefSeq lists it as uncharacterized. The transcript has 4 exons. The record is from RefSeq and is a predicted model, not a curated record. Lineage: Eukaryota; Viridiplantae; Streptophyta; Magnoliopsida; Lamiales; Lamiaceae.